This is a long non-coding RNA of Homo sapiens (human), 1878 nucleotides long. Ensembl annotates it as sciatic injury induced lincRNA upregulator of SOX11. Its record names the gene SILC1. The record is from Ensembl. Lineage: Eukaryota; Metazoa; Chordata; Mammalia; Primates; Hominidae.
GGCAGUGUUUUGACGACUGCCUCACUAAAGGAAGCUAAAAGCUGUGCUGAUGCCUCCCAGACGAGCCUCGUUGGAAGCACAGAACCUUCACGGCUCGGAGCCGCUGACACCGUGACAAAGGGAGCCCUGCUCAGGAGAAAGAGCAAAUGAGAGGCAGUUGCACUUUUUCAGGUGUCAGGCUGGAGGAAGCCACUUGAAGAUGAAUCUACCUCUGCCUUAGGAUUGCCUGAUGGCCUGUGCCAUUCCAUGUUAUAUCUACUGAUUUGCUCCCUGUAUUCAAAGAUUUUUUUUUUUUACUUAAUUCUCUCUUACUGACCCUGAGAGUGACCAUAUUUUUAACCAAUUUGGUCUUCAGCCUCAAAACUUAGCUCUUUCCUUUUGUGGUCCCCGAAUCCUAUCACGUGUCAUGGUGGCUGUGAAGAUGUUUGCCAAGCCUGCUGAGAAGGCUCAUCUGUGGCAUCCAAAAGCAGAGAUUUCAACUCUGGACCCCUGUGACCUGCCUUUGUAAUUAUGGAUACCCAGCACUGUUUUGAAAUAUCAGUGGACAUCCAGUUUUUAAAAGCCCUCAGAGCUUUGGGAGACACCCCUUUAUCUCUCUGGCAUGUCAGAGAACCGAUUCAACCCUUCUCAUCUCCUCCUCCUUCCCUCUCUUGGGCCAUCAGGAUGCGGCAGCAACUCACUGUGCAUGUUUUUACAGCUCUUCUCCAGUAAUGCUGCCAUUUCCACUGCAGACCACAGGAUAAAAGGACCGCUUCACCGUGGCCCAGGAUACCCUUUUAAGUAGGAGAGAGGAUUAUUGGCAACUGGCACCACCCCCAUGUCUGGAGGAGGGACGUUUCUAGGAUGACCCCCAGAGUGGAGAAAUAGCCGAGUGCUUUGGAGUCUUCUCAGAUGUGGACGAAAACAGUUCGUGAGCUGCGCUGAGCAGUUCCGGAGCCCUGGCUCCCUUUCCCCGGGGCCUAAGCCCCCAAGAAGAGAGUCUUUUUCAGGACCAUGGGAGCAGGUUUUAAAAGGCUUUCUAUUGAAGCGAGGCCGUCAGCCAGCCGUGCGUGUCCGCAUUGUGGUGGUCCCAGAGCCUUAUGGACAAUCCUUUGAAAGAAUAGGGUUGGGAAGAUUCUCAGGACAGAAGCGGCUAAUUUCCAUCCUUGGAGCUUUAUCUCACAAAGGAUAUUUGAUAGAAAGAAAAAAUGGAGUCUGUGGAAGCUUUGCUCCUAUUUCCAAAUGGGUUGACUCUGGAUGCAAAGGAAUAUUUUCACAUUUUUCCCAAUAGAGGAAAGCUUUUAGUGCCAAAAUCCUCAAAGGAGAAUGAACAUCACACAUUACACAUGUAUGUAUAAGGGUAGAAUAAUAUGGUACAAAAUCCAGUGAGUACAAGCACACAAUGGGCAUUCAGUACAGGUUAAAUGAAUAUGCAAGAAAAAUUCAAAGUUGUUGUUGCUGUUUAUAAGGGUGGUGAUUAUUAAUAGAUGCAAAUGUAUACUCCCUUUUGUAAUCACAGCAAGGUAAAAGUCUUAUCUCUGAUCAUUACCAUGAGGACACUUAAAUAUUUAGCCCUGGGGACAAAAUGGUUUGUAGGCAGGACGUCCUGUGUGUUUAUGCACACAUAAAAUGCCGCCCUGGCCCCAGGACUGCAAGGCCUCUGACUGCAUCAUUUACAUUCAGGGGUGGUCCUGAUCAACAUGGCCCCAUAGAAUAAUAGAGGGAAUUUCAGAUAGUACAGCGUUAGAUAAUAAGCGCUUUCCACUGACUCUGUUUACAUGUGGAAAUUAGAAGCGCUGAGUGAAAAAGAGUAGUGAAAAUAAAGACAGGAAGUAUAUACACAACAAACAAUUUUUCCUCUCUGCAAAUCGGAUUAUUCCCUUGCGCACCCCCUGCAAC